ACCCUAUUAUUUUUAAUGUAACUAUUCUAUACCAAAGUAUUAUUAGAUAAGGUCUUGAAACUUAAAGAAUUUGGCGGUAUUAUAGUCUAUUUAGAGGAAUCUGUUAUGUAAUCGAUAGCCCGCGUUGAACCUUACUUAUUUAAUUUCUUGUAUAUCGCUGUUUAAGAAAAUAUUUUUAGAUUAUUUUCUUGAUUAUUAAUUUUUGAAUAUUUCAAGUCAAGGUGCAGUAUAAAUAAGUUAAAUAAUGGAUUACAAUAAACUUUAUUUAUAUGGAUUAUUAUUUUAAUAUGAUUUGAAGGUGGAUUUAUUUGUAAAUUUUUGAAGAUUGUAAAUUUGAUUUAUAGCUCUAUAAUAUGUACACAU
Molecule: ribosomal RNA, 363 nt
Filed under: Liturgusa maya
Lineage: Eukaryota; Metazoa; Arthropoda; Insecta; Mantodea; Liturgusidae
Description: partial 12S ribosomal RNA
Source: RNAcentral